AUUGAACGCUGGCGGCAUGCCUUACACAUGCAAGUCGAACGGCAGCACGGGUGCUUGCACCUGGUGGCGAGUGGCGAACGGGUGAGUAAUACAUCGGAACAUGUCCUGUAGUGGGGGAUAGCCCGGCGAAAGCCGGAUUAAUACCGCAUACGAUCUACGGAUGAAAGCGGGGGACCUUCGGGCCUCGCGCUAUAGGGUUGGCCGAUGGCUGAUUAGCUAGUUGGUGGGGUAAAGGCCUACCAAGGCGACGAUCAGUAGCUGGUCUGAGAGGACGACCAGCCACACUGGGACUGAGACACGGCCCAGACUCCUACGGGAGGCAGCAGUGGGGAAUUUUGGACAAUGGGCGAAAGCCUGAUCCAGCAAUGCCGCGUGUGUGAAGAAGGCCUGCGGGUUGUAAAGCACUUUUGUCCGGAAAGAAAUCCUUGGCCCUAAUACGGUCGGGGGAUGACGGUACCGGAAGAAUAAGCACCGGCUAACUACGU
RNAcentral lists this ribosomal RNA (485 nucleotides) under uncultured bacterium. RNAcentral's name for it is "partial 16S ribosomal RNA". It matches the Rfam family "Bacterial small subunit ribosomal RNA", at positions 30 to 506 of the family's 1533-position model. The record is from RNAcentral.